UUUUAAAGUAUUUGAGAUUAUUAGUAAUGAUAUAGAAGAUGGACAAAAUAUAUGAACAUACUUUUGCGAUUGGAGUUUCGUCGAAGCUGUGUGAGUUCUCUAAUUAUGUUUAAGGUUAUUGUGAUUCUCUGGACCUUUCGAGAUGUGUAUAUGGAUAUUUAUUGAUGUAUACAAGUGUGUAUAUGUAUGCAUAAGAGGUUACAUGAGGUUGGAAGAGGAUUAGAAGUUAAACGAAAUGAAUCGGAACAACUUCAAUAAAAUCUCGGACCAGAUUUUAGUCUAUAUUGUAGGAGGCAUAUCUCCUAGUAUAUGAGGAGUUUUAAGGUGUUUUCAAAAGCCUAAAACGAAGUUCAUCGAGUCUAGUUUUCAAUGAAACAAACCGCUUGUCGAAACGAUAUCGGGGUAAUGAGAUAUGGACGAUGCAAGUUGGAUGAGCGGGGAUUAAGACUUAAAUGUUCACAAUUUUUCAAUUGUGGCCGUGUGGGCCCCACAAACACAUGGAAAAAAUCAGAUUUUUGCCCAUGCUCAGUUGGGGGAACGUGCAAGACCCCUUGGGCAGAAAAAUAUCCAACUUUGUUGACCAAAAGUUGCAUGCCAACUCAUUUUUCCCAAUGCCACAAAUUGAACAAGAGAGAGAAGCUCUCAUCUUCUCCAACUAGAGAAAGAGAGCCACGGCUAUGGAAGCUCCACCACCAAAAAAAAAAAAAAUAGUUUUCUUCCUCAAAUCAACUCCUCAUCUAGUGUACAAGAACGUGUAGUAGUUGUUGGAAAGAAACAAGGAGGUGUAGCACCUCAAUAGGGUUGAAGAUUCGGCCAAAGUGAAGAACAAGUUGUAAGGAUAAGUGUAUUUGGGCAGCAAGUACAAGUUAGAAUACAACUAAACGCUAAAGGUACAGACGUUCAUUUCGGAGAUCCGCCAGCUUAGGACACUUAUUCAGCUAUUUUGACUGCUCCUUUGUUCCGGAGCCUAGCUUGUGGUAUAACUCCCUUAUGUUGAAUUCAUAUGAGUUUAUUUGGGUACGGCGGGGCCCUGUCCCGCCAUAUGAUACGGUCAUUACUCUUAGAGGUCUGUGGACAUUUAUGUGGGUCUGUUUAUGGUUGUUGACGCGUUUUAUGAUUAUGACAUAUGUUUGGGGCGUACCCAUUCGUAAUGGCAGCCUUGUCGGCUUGCAUAUAUAUGUAUGUUUGGUAUGUUGCAUAUCGUGGCAGCCUUGUCGGCUUGCGUAGGAAUAUAUAUAUGUUGUUGUUUAAAAAUUUUAAUUCUUCAGGAGACAGGUGCCUACGACAUACAAAAUUUUGACAGCUUUAAAAAUAACACCCUACCUGUUUAUACAAAUAAGUUCGUGACAUGCUAGUGUUAAAUGAUUACAGUUAACAGGCAAUAUGAGUGUCCAAUUCGGGCACUAGUCACGGCCUACGGGGUUGGGUCG
Molecule: long non-coding RNA, 1430 nt
Organism: Lycium barbarum (goji berry)
Lineage: Eukaryota; Viridiplantae; Streptophyta; Magnoliopsida; Solanales; Solanaceae
Exons: 3
Source: RefSeq, a predicted model, not a curated record